Molecule: transfer RNA, 90 nt
Filed under: Desulfosarcina ovata subsp. sediminis
Lineage: Bacteria; Pseudomonadati; Thermodesulfobacteriota; Desulfobacteria; Desulfobacterales; Desulfosarcinaceae
Also listed under: 1 other name
Description: tRNA-Ser
Rfam family: tRNA
About the family: Transfer RNA (tRNA) molecules are approximately 80 nucleotides in length. Their secondary structure includes four short double-helical elements and three loops (D, anti-codon, and T loops).
Source: RNAcentral
GGAAGGAUGGCCGAGUGGUUGAAGGCGCUGGUCUCGAAAACCAGUGAAGUGGCAACGCUUCCGAGAGUUCGAAUCUCUCUCCUUCCGCCA